Molecule: long non-coding RNA, 905 nt
Organism: Cygnus atratus (black swan)
Lineage: Eukaryota; Metazoa; Chordata; Aves; Anseriformes; Anatidae
Exons: 7
Source: RefSeq, a predicted model, not a curated record
AGGUGGUGUGGGUGAUACCGGCUGUACUGUUGGAGCUUGGACUCAGAGAGGAAUGGUAGAGGGUAAACCUUAGGAGGAACCGGUCACAGGAAAGAGCUCCUUCUGGAACUGUCAAGCACUCGCUGAAACGCAGUGUACAACACGGGACUUCACGACCAGAGCUCCUUUUGGCAAGAUGUGUUGUAGCUGGCUUAAGAGAGCAGAUGGAAGCCUCUGCCUCGAGGGCAGGUGCCUCGCACAGACUCAGAGGGGCUAAGCUGCACUCCUGAAGAGCAGCACGAGAAGGGCAGGCUGGUCGUGAGUGGGGUUGGAGCAGGAUGGCCAAGUAGCACAAGGUGACUGCGAAGGGUAUCCAUCUUGCUUUGCAGGUGCAAUGGCAGGCUUUCCACAGAAGUGGCUGAGGAUUCGAGAAGAGGUUACAGAGCAUCAAGGAGCGGCACGUGCAGUGAUGGCUUCCAAAACGGUGAAGAGGUGCCUGAAGCCCCAUCCUGUCUAGCCUGCGCACACGUCGCUAAGAAUGAAAGCUGAUUUCCAGUGAUAAGAGAACAAAGGGAUUUCUUUAGAGAAAAAACUGCUGACUCUGCACGGACGUGCAGUAACUUCUGACAUCCGGCCAAGAGACCACCAGAUAAGGAGGAAGAAUAUGAGCCUCCCGUCCGAGCGGCCCCCAAGAGACUACCAGAGACUGAUAAGCAGGCGCCCUUGGGAGGACUUUGGAUUCGGGAAACCAAUUAUAAUAACCCUGCCUCUUUUUAAAGUAGUAAUAAAUAUGAAGUAGCCUAGGAGUAUAAAAAAUCAGCCGUCUUACGUAACGGGUAUGCGUCUUGGUGGAGCAGAGACUCCCAGCGCACCCAGCGCUGUUUGCUUGCCUCUAUUCGUUUAAUAAACUGUAAACUUUGAUUGCA